ACUCAAAGGAAUUGACGGGGGCCCGCACAAGCGGUGGAGCAUGUGGUUCAAUUCGACGCAACGCGAAGAACCUUACCCAGGCUCGAACGGCAAGUGACAUUCGAUGAAAGUCGGCUUCCGCAAGGACACUUGUCGAGGUGCUGCAUGGCUGUCGUCAGCUCGUGUCGUGAGAUGUUGGGUUAAGUCCCGCAACGAGCGCAACCCUUGUUUCCUGUUGCCAUCACGUUAUGGUGGGCACUCUGGAGAGACUGCCGGUGACAAACCGGAGGAAGGUGGGGAUGACGUCAAGUCAGCAUGGCCUUUAUGUCUGGGGCCACACACGUGCUACAAUGGCAGAUACAAACCGUCGCGAUCCCGCGAGGGGGAGCUAAUCGGAGAAAGUCUGUCUCAGUUCGGAUUGCAGGCUGCAACUCGCCUGCAUGAAGUUGGAAUCGCUAGUAAUCGCGGAUCAGCACGCCGCGGUGAAUACGUUCCCGGGCCUUGUACACACCGCCCGU
RNAcentral lists this ribosomal RNA (497 nucleotides) under uncultured bacterium. Its description in RNAcentral is "partial 16S ribosomal RNA". It matches the Rfam family "Bacterial small subunit ribosomal RNA", at positions 899 to 1397 of the family's 1533-position model. The record is from RNAcentral.